GUCUGAAGGGCCUUAAGACAUCCUCUUUCACUGUGUAGUAGUGCAGUCUACAGACCACAUCUCAUGGUUGUUCAGCUUGUGAGCCUCUUGGGCGCAGUGUCAGCAGGUUUGUUUAGGAGGAGAUUGAGCAGCUCAGAGAGGAUGCCGUGUAAGUCCUCUUUCAACCUUUCUGGAAGGACUUUGACCCGUAAAUUAUUCCGC
This is a non-coding RNA of Pelobates cultripes (western spadefoot toad), 201 nucleotides long. The record is from the annotation of a GenBank genome assembly. Lineage: Eukaryota; Metazoa; Chordata; Amphibia; Anura; Pelobatidae.